This 204-nucleotide long non-coding RNA is filed under the name Nicotiana benthamiana. RNAcentral's name for it is "long non-coding RNA (NBEN_LNC007643)". Lineage: Eukaryota; Viridiplantae; Streptophyta; Magnoliopsida; Solanales; Solanaceae. The record is from RNAcentral.
AUGGAAGCUGAACAUCUCCGGAGUGUGUGUUAUGUGCCAGCAAGAAUUGGAAACUAGAGAUCAUUUAUUUCUGCAUUGCUCCUUUGCUUCACUGUUGAGAUAUCAAACAAUGCAAUGGCUGAGAACUGAUGAUUUCACUGGACAAUAUUGGAUACAAUUCUGUCAAUGGAUCAUUAUGCAGUCCAAAGGAAAAUCUGUCCGAGC